RNAcentral lists this ribosomal RNA (1173 nucleotides) under Shigella sonnei. RNAcentral describes it as "bacterial SSU rRNA". It matches the Rfam family "Bacterial small subunit ribosomal RNA", at positions 8 to 1170 of the family's 1533-position model. The record is from RNAcentral. Lineage: Bacteria; Pseudomonadati; Pseudomonadota; Gammaproteobacteria; Enterobacterales; Enterobacteriaceae.
AGAGUUUGAUCAUGGCUCAGAUUGAACGCUGGCGGCAGGCCUAACACAUGCAAGUCGAACGGUAACAGGAAACAGCUUGCUGUUUCGCUGACGAGUGGCGGACGGGUGAGUAAUGUCUGGGAAACUGCCUGAUGGAGGGGGAUAACUACUGGAAACGGUAGCUAAUACCGCAUAACGUCGCAAGACCAAAGAGGGGGACCUUCGGGCCUCUUGCCAUCGGAUGUGCCCAGAUGGGAUUAGCUAGUAGGUGGGGUAACGGCUCACCUAGGCGACGAUCCCUAGCUGGUCUGAGAGGAUGACCAGCCACACUGGAACUGAGACACGGUCCAGACUCCUACGGGAGGCAGCAGUGGGGAAUAUUGCACAAUGGGCGCAAGCCUGAUGCAGCCAUGCCGCGUGUAUGAAGAAGGCCUUCGGGUUGUAAAGUACUUUCAGCGGGGAGGAAGGGAGUAAAGUUAAUACCUUUGCUCAUUGACGUUACCCGCAGAAGAAGCACCGGCUAACUCCGUGCCAGCAGCCGCGGUAAUACGGAGGGUGCAAGCGUUAAUCGGAAUUACUGGGCGUAAAGCGCACGCAGGCGGUUUGUUAAGUCAGAUGUGAAAUCCCCGGGCUCAACCUGGGAACUGCAUCUGAUACUGGCAAGCUUGAGUCUCGUAGAGGGGGGUAGAAUUCCAGGUGUAGCGGUGAAAUGCGUAGAGAUCUUGGAGGAAUACCGGUGGCGAAGGCGGCCCCCUGGACGAAGACUGACGCUCAGGUGCGAAAGCGUGGGGAGCAAACAGGAUUAGAUACCCUGGUAGUCCACGCCGUAAACGAUGUCGACUUGGAGGUUGUGCCCUUGAGGCGUGGCUUCCGGAGCUAACGCGUUAAGUCGACCGCCUGGGGAGUACGGCCGCAAGGUUAAAACUCAAAUGAAUUGACGGGGGCCCGCACAAGCGGUGGAGCAUGUGGUUUAAUUCGAUGCAACGCGAAGAACCUUACCUGGUCUUGACAUCCACAGAACUUUCCAGAGAUGGAUUGGUGCCUUCGGGAACUGUGAGACAGGUGCUGCAUGGCUGUCGUCAGCUCGUGUUGUGAAAUGUUGGGUUAAGUCCCGCAACGAGCGCAACCCUUAUCCUUUGUUGCCAGCGGUCCGGCCGGGAACUCAAAGGAGACUGCCAGUGAUAAACUGGAGGA